GAAUGGGACCCAGUUAGGAACGAAGGAGUGGAUUGAGAAUGUGGGAAAAAGUGAGAAACUUGGGAGAGGAAUGAGACAAAGGAUCGAAGUAAGAAAAAAGGAAAUUGGAUGAGGGUUCUGAACUGGAGAUGAAAGGGUUAUAUUGAAAGUAUGGUGAUUAAUGAGUGAAAUUUGAUGAAGAUGAUGGGGCUAGUGGAUCUCAUGACGAGAGAGAGAGACUGAGAGAGGUAAGAGAGAUUUUAUUUAAAACUUAAAAUAAAUCUACCCUUAAAAUAAAUCCAUAUAAUCAAUUUUUACUCUGCCACGUACUUUUCAAUGUCAGCUCAGCAUGUUACAUCGCAACAAAGUUACCGUUUAUAGCAAUUAACGGAAAGGAUAUUAUUGAAUCAAUUUUAUAAAAUUAGGGACUCAAUUGAACACUUCCAACAUAAAAGGACCCAAUUGAAACGAAUUCACAUAAAUAGGGACCUCCAAACCUAUUAAACCUAAUAUAAACAAUUCAAACACAGAUCCAAAACUUACUUAUCAUAUUUUUUUAAAAUAAUUAAAUUAAAAAAAA
This 559-nucleotide long non-coding RNA is filed under the name Vigna radiata. RNAcentral describes it as "long non-coding RNA (VRAD_LNC011408)". The record is from RNAcentral. Lineage: Eukaryota; Viridiplantae; Streptophyta; Magnoliopsida; Fabales; Fabaceae.